This 1001-nucleotide ribosomal RNA is filed under the name Sporormurispora pruni. RNAcentral describes it as "bacterial SSU rRNA". It matches the Rfam family "Eukaryotic small subunit ribosomal RNA", at positions 163 to 1120 of the family's 1831-position model. The record is from RNAcentral. Lineage: Eukaryota; Fungi; Ascomycota; Dothideomycetes; Pleosporales; Sporormiaceae.
GCUAAUACAUGCUAAAACCCCGACUUCGGGAGGGGUGUAUUUAUUAGAUAAAAAACCAAUGCCUUCGGGGCUCUUUGUGAUUCAUGAUAACUUAACGGAUCGCAUGGCCUUGUGCCGGCGACGGUUCAUUCAAAUUUCUGCCCUAUUACCUUUCGAUGGUAAGAUAGAGGCUUACCAUGGGUUCAAUGGGUAACGGGGAAUUAGGUACGUUUGAACACCCCUUCCAUCACCAUUACAGCAGAUUGCUAACUUCACUUUUAGGGUUCGAUUCCGGAGAGGGAGCCUGAGAAACGGCUACCACAUCCAAGGAAGGCAGCAGGCGCGCAAAUUACCCAAUCCCGAUACGGGGAGGUAGUGACAAUAAAUACUGAUACAGGGCUCUUUAGGGUCUUGUAAUCGGAAUGAGUACAAUUUAAACCCCUUAACGAGGAACAAUUGGAGGGCAAGUCUGGUGCCAGCAGCCGCGGUAAUUCCAGCUCCAAUAGCGUAUAUUAAAGUUGUUGCAGUUAAAAAGCUCGUAGUUGAACCUUGGGCCUGACCGGUUGGUCCGCCUCACCGCGUGUACUAAUCCGGUCGGGCCUUUCCUUCUGGAGAACCUCAUGCCCUUCACUGGGUGUGUUGGGGAACCAGGACUUUUACUUUGAAAAAAUUAGAGUGUUCAAAGCAGGCCUUUGCUCGAAUACAUUAGCAUGGAAUAAUAGAAUAGGACGUGCGGUCCUAUUUUGUUGGUUUCUAGGACCGCCGUAAUGAUUAAUAGGGAUAGUCGGGGGCAUCCGUAUUCAAUUGUCAGAGGUGAAAUUCUUGGAUUUAUUGAAGACGAACUACUGCGAAAGCAUUUGCCAAGGAUGUUUUCAUUAAUCAGUGAACGAAAGUUAGGGGAUCGAAGACGAUCAGAUACCGUCGUAGUCUUAACCGUAAACUAUGCCGACUAGGGAUCGGGCGGUGUUUCUAUCUUGACCCGCUCGGCACCUUACGAGAAAUCAAAGUUUUGGGUCUGGGAG